AACGAACGCUGGCGGCGCGUCUUAAACAUGCAAGUCGAGCGGCAGGACGGGGCUUGCCCCUUCUGAGAGUGGCGGACUGGUGAGUAACACGUGGGUGACAUACCUUUUAGUUUGGGAUAGCUAUUAGAAAUAGUAGGUAAUACCGAAUGUGACCGUACCUGUUAGAGGGGUACGAGGAAAGGAGCUAAGGCUUCGCUAAAAGAAUGGCUCGCGGCCCAUUAUGCUCGUUGGUGAGGUAACGGCCCAGCAAGGCGAUGAUGGGUGUCCGGCCUGAGAGGGUGAACGGACACAUUGGGACUGAGAUACGGCCCAGACUUCUACGGGAGGCAGCAGUUAAGAAUAUUCCGCAAUGGACGAAAGUCUGACGGAGCGACGCCGCGUGGAUGAAGAAUGCCGAAAGGUUGUAAAAUCCUUUUAAGCCUGAUGAAUAAGCACAGUAGGGAAUGAUUGUGCGGUGACCGUAGGGCUUGAAUAAGCACCGGCUAAUUACGUG
RNAcentral lists this ribosomal RNA (493 nucleotides) under uncultured bacterium. Its description in RNAcentral is "partial 16S ribosomal RNA". It matches the Rfam family "Bacterial small subunit ribosomal RNA", at positions 29 to 507 of the family's 1533-position model. The record is from RNAcentral.